This 484-nucleotide ribosomal RNA is filed under the name uncultured bacterium. Its description in RNAcentral is "partial 16S ribosomal RNA". It matches the Rfam family "Bacterial small subunit ribosomal RNA", at positions 30 to 507 of the family's 1533-position model. The record is from RNAcentral.
AUUGAACGCUGGCGGCAGGCCUAACACAUGCAAGUCGAGCGGAUGAAGGGAGCUUGCUCCUGGAUUCAGCGGCGGACGGGUGAGUAAUGCCUAGGAAUCUGCCUGGUAGUGGGGGAUAACGUCCGGAAACGGGCGCUAAUACCGCAUACGUCCUGAGGGAGAAAGUGGGGGAUCUUCGGACCUCACGCUAUCAGAUGAGCCUAGGUCGGAUUAGCUAGUUGGUGGGGUAAAGGCCUACCAAGGCGACGAUCCGUAACUGGUCUGAGAGGAUGAUCAGUCACACUGGCACUGAGAAACGGCCCAGACUCCGGCGGUGGGCAGCGGUGGGGAAUAUUGGACGAGGGGGGAGAGCCUGAUCCAGCCAUGCCGGGUGUGUGAAGAAGGUCUUCGGAUUGGAGAGCACUGUAGGUUGUGGGGAUGUGCAGUAAGUUUAUACCGUACUGUUUUGACAGUACCAGCAGAAUAAGCACCGGCUAACUUCGUG